GUCAUACCUCUUUUCAAUAGAAAAAUAAUGGCACAGGUAUAGGCGAAAGCAUCCCCUUAUGUGAUAACUGACGUUGAGGGACGAAGGCUUUGUGUAGCGAACAGGAUUAGAUACCCCAGUAGUCCAAGCAGAAAAUGAUGAAUGUCAUAGAUUAGAUAUAUAAGUUUAUUCUAUAAAUGAAAGUGUAAGCAUUCCACCUCAAGAGUAAUUUGGCAACAUUGGAACUGAAAUCAUUAGACCGUUUCUGAAACCGUAGUGAAGUAUGUUGUUUAAUUUGAUGAUCCGCAAAAAACCUUACCACAAUUUGAAUAUUUAUAUCUUUUAUUG
RNAcentral lists this ribosomal RNA (327 nucleotides) under Cetraria australiensis. Its description in RNAcentral is "SSU rRNA". It matches the Rfam family "Bacterial small subunit ribosomal RNA", at positions 670 to 1003 of the family's 1533-position model. Lineage: Eukaryota; Fungi; Ascomycota; Lecanoromycetes; Lecanorales; Parmeliaceae. The record is from RNAcentral.